This 467-nucleotide ribosomal RNA is filed under the name uncultured bacterium. RNAcentral describes it as "partial 16S ribosomal RNA". It matches the Rfam family "Bacterial small subunit ribosomal RNA", at positions 28 to 506 of the family's 1533-position model. The record is from RNAcentral.
GACGAACGCUGGCGGCGUGCUUAACACAUGCAAGUCGAACGGAAAGGCCCUGCUUUUGUGGGGUGCUCGAGUGGCGAACGGGUGAGUAACACGUGAGUAACCUGCCCUUGACUUUGGGAUAACUUCAGGAAACUGGGGCUAAUACCGGAUAGGAGCUCCUGCUGCAUGGUGGGGGUUGGAAAGUUUCGGCGGUUGGGGAUGGACUCGCGGCUUAUCAGCUUGUUGGUGGGGUAGUGGCUUACCAAGGCUUUGACGGGUAGCCGGCCUGAGAGGGUGACCGGCCACAGUGGGACUGAGAUACGGCCCAGACUCCUACGGGAGGCAGCAGUGGGGAAUAUUGCACAAUGGGCGGAAGCCUGAUGCAGCAACGCCGCGUGCGGGAUGACGGCCUUCGGGUUGUAAACCGCUUUAGCCUGUGACGAAGCGUGAGUGACGGUAAUGGGUAAAGAAGCACCGGCUAACUACGU